UGGGGAAUUUUGGACAAUGGGCGCAAGCCUGAUCCAGCAAUGCCGCGUGCAGGAUGAAGGCCUUCGGGUUGUAAACUGCUUUUGUACGGAACGAAAAAGCUCUCUCUAAUACAGGGGGUGAAUGACGGUACCGUAAGAAUAAGCACCGGCUAACUACGUGCCAGCAGCCGCGGUAAUACGUAGGGUGCAAGCGUUAAUCGGAAUUACUGGGCGUAAAGCGUGCGCAGGCGGUUUUGUAAGACAGAGGUGAAAUCCCCGGGCUUAACCUGGGAACUGCGUUUGUGGCUGCAAGGCUGGAGUACGGCAGAGGGGGGUGGAAUUCCACGUGUAGCAGUGAAAUGCGUAGAGAUGUGGAGGAACACCGAUGGCGAAGGCAGCCCCCUGGGCCUGUACUGACGCUCAUGCACGAAAGCGUGGGGAGCAAACA
RNAcentral lists this ribosomal RNA (427 nucleotides) under uncultured bacterium. RNAcentral's name for it is "bacterial SSU rRNA". It matches the Rfam family "Bacterial small subunit ribosomal RNA", at positions 355 to 774 of the family's 1533-position model. The record is from RNAcentral.